This 532-nucleotide ribosomal RNA is filed under the name uncultured bacterium. RNAcentral describes it as "bacterial SSU rRNA". It matches the Rfam family "Bacterial small subunit ribosomal RNA", at positions 777 to 1308 of the family's 1533-position model. The record is from RNAcentral.
AAUAGAUACCCUGGUAGUCCACGCCGUAAACGAUGUCGACUUGGAGGUUGUUCCCUUGAGGAGUGGGCUUCCGGAGCUAACGCGUUAAGUCGACCGCCUGGGGAGUACGGCCGCAAGGUUAAAACUCAAAUGAAUUGACGGGGGCCCGCACAAGCGGUGGAGCAUGUGGUUUAAUUCGAUGCAACGCGAAGAACCUUACCUACUCUUGACAUCCAGAGAACUUAGCAGAGAUGCUUUGGUGCCUUCGGGAACUCUGAGACAGGUGCUGCAUGGCUGUCGUCAGCUCGUGUUGUGAAAUGUUGGGUUAAGUCCCGCAACGAGCGCAACCCUUAUCCUUUGUUGCCAGCGGUUCGGCCGGGAACUCAAAGGAGACUGCCAGUGAUAAACUGGAGGAAGGUGGGGAUGACGUCAAGUCAUCAUGGCCCUUACGAGUAGGGCUACACACGUGCUACAAUGGCGUAUACAAAGAGAAGCGACCUCGCGAGAGCAAGCGGACCUCAUAAAGUACGUCGUAGUCCGGAUUGGAGUCUGC